Molecule: long non-coding RNA, 902 nt
Organism: Sander lucioperca (pikeperch)
Lineage: Eukaryota; Metazoa; Chordata; Actinopteri; Perciformes; Percidae
Exons: 4
Source: RefSeq, a predicted model, not a curated record
GUCUUCUGUGGUAACCAGGCCCAGAAAUCAGAUACCUACUACAUUUCACACUGUUUAUGAAUGAUAUUAAGAUGAAGAGGAUAUUCACUUACUUUUUAUGCUCAAUACGGGUGUCAAUGAAUGAGCUACAUAAAGCCAUUCUGAGGACAGGUUUGGAAGUCUCCACUUCAUCUACAGCUGGUUGUUCUGCAAGCCCUGGGAGAAAAUAUUGAUAUAGUAGUGUAAAAAUCAGAAACAACACCUGCUUGAUCGCUCACAGUCCCUCGGUGCAUUUGAUGUCUUUUUUCCAUCUUCUGAAGGUCCAUUUUGGUAACCAGGUGACACUUGUGGUCAUCAGGGAGAGAAAAGCACCACAGCUAAAACAAACAGGGGCAGAACUCCGCUGAUGUUAAAGGUCCGAGGUGGCUGGUCAAGAGUUCAAUAUCCCAGACGAUGAUAUAGUCGGCAGAGGCAGAGCAGAGGAGAACAGGUCCGCUUCCUUUUCCAAAGGUCAUGGCACUGAUCUCACCGUGGUGGCCAGUUAACAACAGGGGCUGUGGACAAACAUUUUGACUCAAGUAAAAUAUGCAAUAUAUUGUAACAAAUGUUUUCUAUUAGUGGCUCUUGGAUGAUAAAUUAAGUAAUUGAUAGAUCAAUAUUUUCUUUCUCCAUCAUAAAAAAAAAAAAUCAAUAUAAAUCAUAUUACUUCAUUGUAAGAUUAAUUUCGUCUUACUAGAUUGUGGCCAAUUUGUGCAAAUAUAAAGUACGUUUUUUAAUUACUUUUAUUUAGUAUUUUUAAAUGAAUAUGUGUUAUGACAUAUACAGAAUCUAACGUUAUACAAAACCAACAGGCUAUAGCUUGUGAUAGAAAUAAAAAUGGAAAAAAGGCAUGUGCAGAUACAAAAUACACAUGAGGACUAAUA